ACUGAAAGUGCAGAGCUCCAGAAGCAGAGAAGAUGAAGAUAUUCGGGAAGCAUGUGUUUCCAGGCCAAAUCGCACUCUUCGCCUCAGGGGUUUUGUUCUUGGCAUCAACAACGUACGAUGUGCACAGAUCAAUAAAGAACAAUGAAACCCCUCCUUCCAAGGAACAAAUGGAAGCCUUAGAAGAGUACAUCAGGUCGCGGCGUCGCUCUCCUUGAUCCCUUCCUCUUCCUCCUCUGCUUUCACUCUGUAAUACUUCUUACAUGAUUCGGUAUCUCAAUCGAUGUAAUAUUUCGUGAAAACUUUAAUUCAUGUUGGAUAACGCCAGGUUAUUGUAUUAUAGUUCAGUAUGUUAUAAUUUGAAAGUGAUGACAUAUAUUAUUAAAAUAAUUAUACUGUUAAUUAUUUACUGUUUUCUAAUUGAUUAGUUCA
Molecule: long non-coding RNA, 429 nt
Organism: Neltuma alba
Lineage: Eukaryota; Viridiplantae; Streptophyta; Magnoliopsida; Fabales; Fabaceae
Exons: 2
Source: RefSeq, a predicted model, not a curated record